Long non-coding RNA from Acipenser ruthenus (sterlet), 317 nucleotides. RefSeq lists it as uncharacterized. The transcript has 3 exons. The record is from RefSeq and is a predicted model, not a curated record. NCBI's taxonomy places the organism in Eukaryota, Metazoa, Chordata, Actinopteri, Acipenseriformes, Acipenseridae.
UUUUGUUUCAGAUUGCGUUCCUGUGUUGUUUUACGGACUGCCCGCCGUUUUCCUGCUAAUUCUGGUCGUGGUGUCUGUGGCGUGUGUUUACAGAAGACUUCAUAAAAAUAAAACCGAUCACAAGUCCAGCGACGCGCCCUGCCGUCCCCAACGUCCCGCCCGACACAGAACAGUCCAGGAUUACUCGACGGAAUACGCAUCGCUCAAUCUGUGACGUGAUCCACAAAGCAGCGCGCUCAUCUUUCAAUGCAGCCGUGGAUAUGUUUUUCAUGUGGAGAGAGAGAGAGAGAGAGAGAGAGAGAGAGAGAGAGAGAGAG